Molecule: unclassified non-coding RNA, 1781 nt
Filed under: Hevea brasiliensis (rubber tree)
Lineage: Eukaryota; Viridiplantae; Streptophyta; Magnoliopsida; Malpighiales; Euphorbiaceae
Source: RNAcentral
GUUGUCAUUUGCCCAACAAGGGAAUUUGCCAUACAGGUGAAAUUAUUGUUAUAACCUUUUGGCAUAAUGAUUUUGUAAUUUUUUUUCCUGUGAAUUUGCACUUCUUCCAGUCUAGUAGUUAGUCAUGUAUUGGCUUCCAUUCCAUGCAAUAAUUACUUAUCAACUAGAGUGUCCACAUGAAUUAUCUUUAGGCAAGCUGUAUUAUUACUCUUUUAGUUUAGUAUUGUAAACUAAAAGCUGCGCACUUUCAUUUUGUGUGAUCUUCUCAGUGUUUCCUAUUAAAUACUAGAAAACCAUUUAUAGCUACAAUGUCAUUGAAAGUUUGCAAAUAGUUUGAGGUCCCUGUCGUGGGAGUGGGAGUAAAUAGUCAAUCAGGCAGACUUCUUUUGGUAUGUACAAUUGAAAGGGAACAAUUGUAGGUUCACAACAUAGCCUUAUAUAGGGCUAUUUUGGAGAAAAUUCUUUUGAUAUGCUUCUCUAUUGAGGUAGAUAUUAAGAAUCAAAUACGACAUCAAUGAAGUUGCUGUAUUAAAUAAGCAAUUCAAGCUAAAAAUGGUUUAUGGAGUUAAUAAAUACGAAAGUUUUGAAGUUUAUUACUCUCCUUAAUAAAUUUGAAGGCCUACAUUUAAGAUUACUGACAUUAUGAACAAGUAGAAACUGACCAUUAUUGAUUAAAGCAAAGUUAGAAUCCAAACAAGGAUAAGCAGAGAAAAAAUAAAUUUAAUCAUGUGUCAUAUGGGAUGUUGUAGUUGUGCCGGGACGGAUGAAUUCAGGGAGGAUGAGGAUGGGCUGCAGUGUCUGAGUUUAAAAAUUUUCAGUUAGCAUGUAUGACUUUGAUAAACUCUACUCUUUUCCUAACUUAACAUGUAUGGUUGAUAUUUCCUGCCUUUUCUUCAUUUUGGUUUUAAAAAGUGAAAUUAAUAACUGGAGCUAGCUUGCUUUUUUGAUUCUUGAAGUUUAUUUUCCUCUUAAAACCUACUCAUGAUUAGGGCAUGUUGAUUGCUGUACUCUAAGUGGUAUGUACUCUUCCUAUGCAAAAGCUAUAAGAUUUCCCAAAUUAUCAUUUAGUUUUAAAGUUUAAUUAGUUUGCUGAAGAUAUCCCUUGAUAGUUGAUUGAUUGAUUUUCCCUUGCAAUUUGAUGUUGUGAACUUGUGAUUAACGGUAAUUGAUCUUAGUGGUAUGAGAAGGCUGUGAUGUGACUUCUUAUUGGCAGCAUGCUUUAAUUUGCAAAUUAACUUGUUGAAGAUGAUAACAAGAAAUUGAAAGAAAAAAUUUUGGCAUAUUUAUAGGGAAGGGGAAUUUUGGCUUUGGAAGAAUGGAGUCAAAUGGUUCAAGUAUAAAAUUAGUGAAAAAAUAGCUGCAAAUUGCAUUAGCAGUAUGGUAGCGGUAGACACCAUUGCAACCUGGAGGUGUCCCAUGAUCAAAAUCUAGCAGUGACAUAAUUAUAUAUAUAGCCCUCAUAUCUUUACAUAUACAUCUGUACUUCACAUGAGUUUGUUAAUCUUCCUAUCCAUAUGCUAUCUACUGCUAUUCCAGAAUAUUUUUACAUUUUGUUCUUUCAGCUUUUUUUUAUCAUUUCAUCCUUUAAGAUGUACUUAUUUUGUAAAAAGUUAAUAUAAGCAGAGAAGCUUAGUCCAGCGCAAUUAUUUGUGAAAUUAGCAAAAUAAAAUGACCAUAGCUGUUGAAUGUUACGUUGCCUUGGAGUUUCACCUCUUACACUCUUCUACUUAUUUCAAGUUUUCAACAUUCAAAUGCUUCAGACUCAUGCUGUUGCAAAGGAC